UGAAACUUCCUAGUAUCUCGCGGGCUUGAA
Molecule: non-coding RNA, 30 nt
Filed under: Rattus norvegicus (Norway rat)
Lineage: Eukaryota; Metazoa; Chordata; Mammalia; Rodentia; Muridae
Source: RNAcentral